GACGAACGCUGGCGGCGUGCCUAAUACAUGCAAGUUGAGCGCUGAAGGUUGGUACUUGUACCAACUGGAUGAGCAGCGAACGGGUGAGUAACGCGUGGGGAAUCUGCCUUUGAGCGGGGGACAACAUUUGGAAACGAAUGCUAAUACCGCAUAAAAACUUUAAACACAAGUUUUAAGUUUGAAAGAUGCAAUUGCAUCACUCAAAGAUGAUCCCGCGUUGUAUUAGCUAGUUGGUGAGGUAAAGGCUCACCAAGGCGAGGAUACAUAGCCGACCAAAGAGGGGAAGCGGCCUAGUUGGGAUUGGGACACGGCCCAAACGCCUAGGGGUGGCACCCGUAGCGAAUCUUCGGCAAAGGACGAAAGGCGGACCGAGCAACGCCGCGUGAGUGAAGAAGGGUGUCGGAUCGUAAAACUCUGUUGGUAGAGAAGAACGUUGGUGGGAGUGGAAAGCGCAUCAAGUGACGGUAACUACCCAGAAAGGGACGGCUAACUACGUG
This 497-nucleotide ribosomal RNA is filed under the name uncultured bacterium. Its description in RNAcentral is "partial 16S ribosomal RNA". It matches the Rfam family "Bacterial small subunit ribosomal RNA", at positions 28 to 507 of the family's 1533-position model. The record is from RNAcentral.